CUCUUCUCAGUGCUCUGAGAGAAACACAACUGCUCGAUGUUUGUCAGCCCUAAUUCAAGUGUUUCAGGGGCCAUGAAGGUUGAUCACAUCUGUAAUCCAGGGGGAAUCAAACUGAAGUUCAAUUGAAAUUACAGCGGCUACAUCUUAAUACUUCUUUUGUCUAACUGAUCCUAAAAUUCCUGCCAUGGAAAGUAGUAAGAGUUUUAAGCAGUAGUGUAAUAUUUGCUCUUAC
RNAcentral lists this long non-coding RNA (232 nucleotides) under Gallus gallus (chicken). The record is from RNAcentral. Lineage: Eukaryota; Metazoa; Chordata; Aves; Galliformes; Phasianidae.